GAAGGUAUAGCUCAGUGGUAGUGUGUACUUAGCAUGCAUGAGUUCCUGGGUUCAAUCCCCAGUGCCUCCA
RNAcentral lists this transfer RNA (70 nucleotides) under Camelus bactrianus (Bactrian camel). It matches the Rfam family "tRNA". Rfam says of the family: Transfer RNA (tRNA) molecules are approximately 80 nucleotides in length. Their secondary structure includes four short double-helical elements and three loops (D, anti-codon, and T loops). Further hydrogen bonds mediate the characteristic L-shaped molecular structure. tRNAs have two regions of fundamental functional importance: the anti-codon, which is responsible for specific mRNA codon recognition, and the 3' end, to which the tRNAs corresponding amino acid is attached (by aminoacyl-tRNA synthetases). tRNAs cope with the degeneracy of the genetic code in two manners: having more than one tRNA (with a specific anti-codon) for a particular amino acid; and 'wobble' base-pairing, i.e. permitting non-standard base-pairing at the 3rd anti-codon position. The record is from Rfam by way of RNAcentral. Lineage: Eukaryota; Metazoa; Chordata; Mammalia; Artiodactyla; Camelidae. RNAcentral also lists the same sequence under 2 other names.